Long non-coding RNA from Ictalurus punctatus (channel catfish), 572 nucleotides. Lineage: Eukaryota; Metazoa; Chordata; Actinopteri; Siluriformes; Ictaluridae. The record is from Ensembl.
CUGCCUCAUGCACCGCGACAGCUGGCAUACAAAUGGAUGAACUGCGUCGAUUUGAGUCAAUAGGGCCGUAAAUCAAAGGCUCAUGGCAGCAGGAAAUAGCCCAGACUGGGGCAGCUCUGAAAAAGUCCAGGUCGGGGCAUAUUGGAGCCGUCUGAAGCGAAUGGAAAUGGGAAUUGCAUAAAAAGGGCACAGCGGGACAGCCAGGUGACACUCAGUUGAAUUGCAAGCAGCAGCUCCGCCAUACCACAAGAGGGCAGCAUGACCAAACUACAACCGGUUACACUUGGUGGUGCGACCAUUUUGGAUCAUCAAAUCAGCGGUUCGCCGAUGCUUCACCAAUCUUCUCUCCCGGCCGUCUUCCUCAUCAGUAUCGUUCGUUGCGGCUCCGUGUUCGUGCAUAAGUAGAGCGCGCAAGUGAGAUCGCAGGACAAACUAUUGAAUCUUAAAGGAACCGUAAAGAGUUUAAUUAACUUCAACUUUGACCUUUUUUUCUCCAGAGUACUUUCGUUCGUCGUUGCUGCAUAUUAAACAAGAGAGACUUUGUGAUAAGCGCACCAGGACGCUUCAGUGAC